RNAcentral lists this ribosomal RNA (578 nucleotides) under Lodderomyces parapsilosis. Its description in RNAcentral is "eukaryotic LSU rRNA". It matches the Rfam family "Eukaryotic large subunit ribosomal RNA", at positions 62 to 656 of the family's 3401-position model. Lineage: Eukaryota; Fungi; Ascomycota; Pichiomycetes; Serinales; Debaryomycetaceae. The record is from RNAcentral.
AAACCAACAGGGAUUGCCUUAGUAGCGGCGAGUGAAGCGGCAAAAGCUCAAAUUUGAAAUCUGGCACUUUCAGUGUCCGAGUUGUAAUUUGAAGAAGGUAUCUUUGGGUCUGGCUCUUGUCUAUGUUUCUUGGAACAGAACGUCACAGAGGGUGAGAAUCCCGUGCGAUGAGAUGACCCAGACCUAUGUAAAGUUCCUUCGAAGAGUCGAGUUGUUUGGGAAUGCAGCUCUAAGUGGGUGGUAAAUUCCAUCUAAAGCUAAAUAUUGGCGAGAGACCGAUAGCGAACAAGUACAGUGAUGGAAAGAUGAAAAGAACUUUGAAAAGAGAGUGAAAAAGUACGUGAAAUUGUUGAAAGGGAAGGGCUUGAGAUCAGACUUGGUAUUUUGUAUGUUACUCUCUCGGGGGUGGCCUCUACAGUUUACCGGGCCAGCAUCAGUUUGGGCGGUAGGACAAUUGCAAAGAAAUGUGGCACUGCCUCGGUAGUGUGUUAUAGUCUUUGUCGAUACUGCCAGCCUAGACUGAGGACUGCGGCUUCGGCCUAGGAUGUUGGCAUAAUGAUCUUAAGUCGCCCGUCUUG